GACGAACGCUGGCGGCGUGCUUAACACAUGCAAGUCGAACGGUAAGGCUCCAGCUUGCUGGGGUACACGAGUGGCGAACGGGUGAGUAACACGUGGGUGACCUGCCCUGCACUUCGGGAUAAGCCUGGGAAACUGGGUCUAAUACCGGAUAGGACCAUGGUGUGGAUACUGUGGUGGAAAGUUUUUUCGGUGUGGGAUGGGCCCGCGGCCUAUCAGCUUGUUGGUGGGGUAAUGGCCUACCAAGGCGGCGACGGGUAGCCGGCCUGAGAGGGUGGACGGCCACAUUGGGACUGAGACACGGCCCAGACUCCUACGGGAGGCAGCAGUGGGGAAUAUUGCACAAUGGGCGGAAGCCUGAUGCAGCGACGCCGCGUGGGGGAUGACGGCCUUCGGGUUGUAAACUCCUUUCACCGUCGACGAAGGGUUUCUGACGGUAGAUGGAGAAGAAGCACCGGCUAACUACGUG
This 466-nucleotide ribosomal RNA is filed under the name uncultured bacterium. Its description in RNAcentral is "partial 16S ribosomal RNA". It matches the Rfam family "Bacterial small subunit ribosomal RNA", at positions 28 to 507 of the family's 1533-position model. The record is from RNAcentral.